Molecule: long non-coding RNA, 722 nt
Filed under: Anser brachyrhynchus (Pink-footed goose)
Lineage: Eukaryota; Metazoa; Chordata; Aves; Anseriformes; Anatidae
Description: lncRNA (ENSABRG00000011005.1)
Source: RNAcentral
AUGCGGCGGCCAGCCCUCCGAUGCAGCAUGGAGCUGGCGGCCGCCUCCAUCUCAGAACCUUCUGGGCCUUCUCCUCAGAGGUGUCCUCCUCAAGUGCUGCCACCGUGGGGCUGCCCACAUGGAGAUGCCAUGGCCUCCUCCUGGCCCAGCGUGGUAGCCUCCGUGAGGCACAUCUCUUGCAUGAAGGCGCUCCAUGAAGGAAGGGGCUCCGUUUCUCUGGAGGUUUCUCAAGUAGCAAGGCGUUUUCCUGCAGUUUCGUGGCUAUAUGUUGUGAGAGAUUUGUUUCACCAGGAAUUCAGCUCCUUCAAGUGCUGGAGUUGCAAUGAGAUUCUGCUGGGAGAGCCUGACAGGACAUUCAGAACUGGGAAGUGCAAAGGGCAGAGACCUUUCUGGACUGUGGCUGCAGAUCAUUUAGCACAUGUGGACCUUGGUCUUGUUUAGGAGCUGGGAGUUCCUUUGAGCACUAAAACUAAGAAUUAUUGUUAAUUUUAUUGACUUAAGACACAAGCCUUUAACAUUUUCUCUGUUCCUCCAUUCAAACUUAAUUAUUUAAAUGCCUAACUUGUUUAUAGCUUACAAAACCAUUGUUUUGGGAACAUUUUACUGAAUAAUAGGGCAAAAUAGAGAAGAAGUUCAUUUAAAAAUGGAAAGAUUUGGACUGCAUCCAGCUUCUGAGCUUUGCUUGCUUGCUUAGAGAGAGGAACAGCAAUAAUAUGCUUCAG